Long non-coding RNA from Quercus lobata, 511 nucleotides. RefSeq lists it as uncharacterized. Lineage: Eukaryota; Viridiplantae; Streptophyta; Magnoliopsida; Fagales; Fagaceae. The record is from RefSeq and is a predicted model, not a curated record. The transcript has 3 exons.
UGUUCUGUCUUUCAUGAUUUUUGUAGUAUUCAUUUUUUGGCUACAUGUAUUAAGUCUCUUAGCAUUUUUUUGCAUGCCAAUCAUAAUCCUCUUGAUUGUGGUCGUUUGAGGGUCUUAUUUUGCUUUCUGGGCUUUUACCUAAUCCAGAAUUGGAGACUUCAGUGCUUUCGCUAUGCAAGGUUUGCAGGUUUUGAAUGAGUUGGGAGCUGGGAAUGCACAAGCAGCUAAAUGACUGUUAUAAUGGUUCUUGUAGUUGCAGAGAUUUAUUGUAGCCGUGAUUCUCUUCUUCUGCCAUCGUGUUUUGGUCUAUGCCUUUCGCAGUAAGAAGGAAAUUGCAGAUAUGGGUCCUUUGCUUUGUCUCUCAAUAGUCAUCUUUCAGGGUCCCUAGAGGAAGUGGCUGGCAGGAUAUUGGCGCCUACGUAAAUCUUGAGGCAUAUUAUUUAGUCGGGGUUCCAGUAGGUGUUGUUUUGGCCUUCGCUGUACACUUGAAAGGAAACGGUCUUUGGAUCGA